RNAcentral lists this ribosomal RNA (815 nucleotides) under Nocardiopsis sp. RNAcentral describes it as "bacterial SSU rRNA". It matches the Rfam family "Bacterial small subunit ribosomal RNA", at positions 56 to 874 of the family's 1533-position model. Lineage: Bacteria; Bacillati; Actinomycetota; Actinomycetes; Streptosporangiales; Nocardiopsidaceae. The record is from RNAcentral.
UGCAAGUCGAGCGGUAAGGCCCUUCGGGGUACACGAGCGGCGAACGGGUGAGUAAACGUGAGCAACCUGCCCCUGACUCCGGGAUAAGCGGUGGAAACGCCGUCUAAUACCGGAUACGACCCCCGGGUGCAUACCCGAGGGUGGAAAGUUUUUUCGGUCAGGGAUGGGCUCGCGGCCUAUCAGCUUGUUGGUGGGGUAAAGGCCUACCAAGGCGAUUACGGGUAGCCGGCCUGAGAGGGCGACCGGCCACACUGGGACUGAGACACGGCCCAGACUCCUGCGGGAGGCAGCAGUGGGGAAUCUUGCGCAAUGGGCGAAAGCCUGACGCAGCGACGCCGCGUGGGGGAUGACGGCCUUCGGGUUGUAAACCUCUUUUACCACUCACGCAGGCCCGGGGUUCUCUCCGGGUUGACGGUAGGUGGGGAAUAAGGACCGGCUAACUACGUGCCAGCAGCCGCGGUAAUACGUAGGGUCCGAGCGUUGUCCGGAAUUAUUGGGCGUAAAGAGCUCGUAGGCGGCGUGUCGCGUCUGCUGUGAAAGACCGGGGCUUAACUCCGGUUUUGCAGUGGAUACGGGCAUGCUAGAGGUAGGUAGGGGAGACUGGAAUUCCUGGUGUAGCGGUGAAAUGCGCAGAUAUCAGGAGGAACACCGGUGGCGAAGGCGGGUCUCUGGGCCUUACCUGACGCUGAGGAGCGAAAGCAUGGGGAGCGAACAGGAUUAGAUACCCUGGUAGUCCAUGCCGUAAACGAUGGGCGCUAGGUGUGGGGACUUUCCACGGUUUCCGCGCCGUAGCUAACGCAUUAAGCGCCCCGCCU